This 368-nucleotide ribosomal RNA is filed under the name uncultured organism. RNAcentral's name for it is "bacterial SSU rRNA". It matches the Rfam family "Bacterial small subunit ribosomal RNA", at positions 526 to 896 of the family's 1533-position model. The record is from RNAcentral.
CGGAGGAUCCAAGCGUUAUCCGGAUUUAUUGGGUUUAAAGGGUGCGUAGGCGGCCUAUUAAGUCAGGGGUGAAAGACGGUAGCUUAACUAUCGCAGUGCCUUUGAUACUGAUGGGCUUGAAUGAACUAGAGGUAGGCGGAAUGUGACAAGUAGCGGUGAAAUGCAUAGAUAUGUCACAGAACACCAAUUGCGAAGGCAGCUUACUAUGGUUUUAUUGACGCAGAGGCACGAAAGCGUGGGGAUCAAACAGGAUUAGAUACCCUGGUAGUCCACGCCCUAAACGAUGAACACUCGAUGUUAGCGAUAUACAGUUAGCGUCUAAGCGAAAGCGUUAAGUGUUCCACCUGGGGAGUACGCCCGCAAGGGUG